Molecule: transfer RNA, 71 nt
Filed under: Methanothrix harundinacea 6Ac
Lineage: Archaea; Methanobacteriati; Methanobacteriota; Methanomicrobia; Methanotrichales; Methanotrichaceae
Description: Methanosaeta harundinacea 6Ac tRNA-Cys
Rfam family: tRNA
About the family: Transfer RNA (tRNA) molecules are approximately 80 nucleotides in length. Their secondary structure includes four short double-helical elements and three loops (D, anti-codon, and T loops). Further hydrogen bonds mediate the characteristic L-shaped molecular structure. tRNAs have two regions of fundamental functional importance: the anti-codon, which is responsible for specific mRNA codon recognition, and the 3' end, to which the tRNAs corresponding amino acid is attached (by aminoacyl-tRNA synthetases). tRNAs cope with the degeneracy of the genetic code in two manners: having more than one tRNA (with a specific anti-codon) for a particular amino acid; and 'wobble' base-pairing, i.e. permitting non-standard base-pairing at the 3rd anti-codon position.
Source: RNAcentral
GCCAAGGUGGCGGAGCGGUUACGCAAUUGCCUGCAGAAAAUUCCACUCCGGUUCGAAUCCGGACCUUGGCU